UAAAAUAAAACAACACUAGACCAAUGACUCAUUAAGCUACUCGAUAUGUUUCCAUUCCAGAUUUUGUCAAAAUAAAAAUAAUGUUUCUGAAGUUUUGAUAAAGUCCAGUUGCUCUUUGUGCGUGUUUCUGUGAAUGAGCUGUAACUCUGGUAAAGUCUUAAACUGUCACUUUUUGUCACUGAGUUAUGUCACUUUGAGGAAGACUGGCUCAGAUGAACUGGUCACAUGAGCCCCUGUGUCAACUCCGGGGAAAUGACAAAACAGUGUUUCCACAUCGAUACGUCUGAGAAACCACCUGAUCACAGUGUCAGGGUUUGGGUCAGGGUUAUUUUAGACACGUAGGCGCUUUCAUUACCAGCCUUUUAUUGCAAUAUUAAGGUUUUGAGCAUUUCUAGGGGAAUGGAGACACAGUGAGUGUGAAGAAAUCUGAAAUCCUGCUGAACCCAGACAGUUUCUCAGAGUGGAGGCUGGAGGAGGUGGUUUCAGAGUUUGUGGUUUGUCAUGUAGACAUGAUGAACAGGUAAAGGAGGAAGUGAAGAACUCUUCUCUUCAGUCUGUUCAGAGCUGAGCUGCUUUGUAGACGUCUGAACCUGAUCAUGGAUCUCCUGCUGCUGCUGAUGAUGCCCCUGGUUCUGGUGGGUUCAGAGGUCCAGAACGUGACGGAGGUCAGAGGGAAGCUGGGUCAAGACGUCUCUUUAAACUGCUCCAUCAUGGAUGCAGAUGUUUUCUGGUCCAUGGAAAUCCACCAUCACUUCAGAUUCUCUAUCGGUCGCAGUUUUUUUCCUACAGACAAAGCUUCCUACAACUCUACUGAGUUAAAAACCAAAUAUUUAAUCAAUGGAACCAGACUUGAGAUUAAAAACAUGUCAUCAGAGGACGGCCGGCUUUACUACUGUGGAAGGACAAUACAUAACAGCAUUUCAGCUGAGGAGUCCUUCCUCCUCCUCCUCCUCCCAGAUUCUCCAGACUCCUCCGGAAUAAACCUGGGUGAUGUGGUCACAUACAGCUCACUGGCUCUGAACCUGGUCUUGGUUUUAGUCGUCCUAGCUGAACCUCCCUGAGACUCUCCUGCUGCGACCACCAUGGAGCUGUUGUCCUGUGAGCCGCUUGUCACGUAGCUGUUAACUCUCAGAAACUCGUCCUCUGGUUCAGUCGUGGCUUUGGUUCUGCAGUCAAACCUCUUCCUGUCAGAGUUCCCCUGGUUUCUGAGUUUCCUUUUGUUGGUGAAGGAAACUACCUUGUCUCUCUGUGCAGUUUCUCUGUGGGACAGACCUUCAUGUUGGAGUUGGUUUGUUCCUCUUCUAUUGUUAGUUGUGUUUUUGUAGAAACACACUACGGUGCUCAUGAGGGUAUGUGAUGGUAGCACAGUGUGUUCCAGUGCUGCUUUGAUGGAGACCUCUUGCUGCAGAAAAGGUUUAAAUUUUUCCUUGAAAAAGAACUUUUUGUCUCAUUGUGAAAUGUAGAUUUCUCAGUUGUGGGUAACCUCACCUCACCAGUUCACCACUUACCUUUGUACCAUUUCAAGAUAUUAACUGGAAUUGAACAACUUGGAUUGCAGCAAAUAACUGGAAAAAUUGGGGUGAAACUUUUGACGGGUAGAGUUUAACUCAGCUGUGACGUUGUGUUCUCAGGGCUGAUUGUGUCUCUGAAGAGGAAAAUCAACAAAUUCCAGGAGAAUAAAUGUUCAGGUCCCAUCGACGAGAACCCUGAGAGGCUGGAGACUGUGCAGUAUGAGGAGAUCCAGCUCCCCGACUUCAGACCUCCUCCUCCUCCUGAAUGUGUUUAUUACAAAGUUCAGCUUCCUGGUUCCUGACGCACCUGAUUCCUGGUUCCUGGUUCCUGGUCUGGACUGAGGUCUGAUGCGCUGUGUGUUGACUCUAUGCUGGGUGGAGGCCGACCACGUCCUUGUGUUUUGAGCUGUUGAGUUUCUCAUGAGGACAGUUGUAACGUGUGUUGUGUAACUAAUAAAGUUCCCUCCAGCCUCCAA
This is an RNA transcript of Mugil cephalus (flathead mullet), 1987 nucleotides long. RefSeq lists it as uncharacterized. The record is from RefSeq and is a predicted model, not a curated record. NCBI's taxonomy places the organism in Eukaryota, Metazoa, Chordata, Actinopteri, Mugiliformes, Mugilidae. The transcript is spliced from 4 exons.